Brassica rapa (field mustard) is the source of this 4239-nucleotide long non-coding RNA. RefSeq lists it as uncharacterized. NCBI's taxonomy places the organism in Eukaryota, Viridiplantae, Streptophyta, Magnoliopsida, Brassicales, Brassicaceae. The record is from RefSeq and is a predicted model, not a curated record.
AUCUAAAAUCAGGCCCGGAACUACGUAUUUGGAUGGUUAAACCACGGAAAAAAAAAUUCUUAUCUAACCAAGGGAUGCUAACUAGUGGUAGAAAUAGAAUUUGGGACAGGAGUAACUAGCUAAGCCUUAAAAAAAAAAAAAGGACAAAAAGUGUAAUUGGUGACCAAAGAAAAAAGAAUGAACACAUUCGAUUCCUUAUGGUUUUCAUAAAAAUACAUCAUUCAUGAAGAAUUAUUUUUUCUUUAUAUUCCUCAUCAUUCUUUUUUUUUGUAGAGCAUAACAAAGCAAAAUUAUUCUUCAUUAUAUUUGAGGAAGAACAAUAAUUCCCACUUACUCUUUUAAUUUUAUUCCUGUUUGUUCCUUUUUUAUUUGUUUUUAGUGUUUCUCAAAUGUCAGGAGUCACUCCAAAAAAGUAACUCCCUUGGUUCUGUGCCAUGGGUUCUAUGUAUCCAGCCGCAGACUAAAUUGUUAUUUGCUUAGCUAAAGGAUAUGAGACUUUUGUGGUGAUGUGGAGUGCUUGUGAGAGAUGUGGAGCGCUUGGUCAUAAGGAGAAGAGGUGUCUUCUGCCCCAUAAACCACAUGAUUCCGCUCCUGCGAAAGCUAAUAUAACAAAUGAAGAAAUCCCUUUGGUGGCGAUAGAUAUGUUGCUACCAAACUCAUCCACAUUGGUGGGUGCUGUGGAGACUGACUCGCACUUGACUCCUGGCCAUCAAGCACACAAGAUCACUACAAAUUCUGCUCUCACUACACCUCUUGAGGUCCCUGCUCCUACUACAUUCACCCAUUCGCAUGAGGAUUUAUCCCCGCUAACACAUGGGAGAGAUGAUGGUUUAGGUGAGGUUGGAGAGACUUCUGGUUAUAACAUAACUAGAGGAGGAAGACUGAUUAAACCGACUCAAAAAAUUCAAGAUAUGGAAUGGAAAAAUGUUAGAGGAAAAGGUAAACGAGGUCGUCGCGGCCGAGGGAACCAUGUACACUAGCGAUUGUCUUUUUCUUUAUCUUUCUCUCUUAAGAUUCACUUGUUGAUCUUUCUCUAGGAUGUUCUCCCACUCUCUAUUUGUUGCUUUCUUUUUCAAACUUAUGGGUGAGAAAACUCAUUCAUACCUUGUAUUUUUACUUAUGCAUUUUAAUAUGAAAGCCUUGUUACAAAAAAAGGAUAUGAGACUUUCAUUCAAAACCUGGGUUCGGACUAUUCAUCGGUAGUAUCCUCAUAUGGAGAUUUGUUGGGUUUUGGUCAAGAUACCUCCUACCAAUUAAAAAACAUUUGUUAUCUGUAAACCAUUAUACUAAAGUAAGAAUUUGAUGCUCUAGCCUUGCCAUGUGAAAAGCUUAAAUACACGCUCAACAUGAAUGUGAUUCGUUUCGCAUCAGAUUCUUCCAUGUUCACCAUCCUUACCGUUGUUUUCCCUAACCCUCUUGUUAAAAUCUCCUCCAUGAAGCUUGAUGUAAAUAAAAAAGAAGCUUUCUGUCUUUAAUUCCACUGGGAAUAUCGUAGCAAUUUGCAGUGACAGUGACGACAUCAUUAUACGACACUGCUAAAUAACGUAAGAAAUAAGGAACCAGCAACAAGCUAACAAAAGUCUAAAUGUAGAUUGGAAAAGGAUUGGAUAAUAUUUCCACACAAGUUAUGUUGCUGUUCACACAUAUAAUUAUCUUGCAAGAUAGAGAUAGAUAGAGUGGGUGUACAUAAUUAUUUGUUGCUAAAGUCUUUUUAGGCCAAGUCUACAGAAAACAAUAAAAUAUUAGGAAGCAUAAUAAUUGUUUAUUUGGAAUAAAUAUAUCACAUUAAACGACUAAUAAAAGGAAAAAAAAUUGGACAAAAUUUGGAGAUACAGUACCUGCUUAUGAAAACAGAUUUUUAAUUUUCAAGUUAAAUCUUUCAAAAUAUAUAUAAAUAUCAAUUAUAUUAAUAUUUUGAUUAGAAAGCAUUUCAAAAUUUUGAGGAAUCAUUUAUGUAAAAGUUUUUCAAAAUAGCCAAAGAGGAAGAUAUCAAAAUAAUAUUUUGACAGAGAUUUUUCAAACAUUUGAAAUGUUCUCUGAUCAAAUAUUAAUAUACUUUUUAUUAUAUUUCAAAAGUCCAAUUUCAAAAUUCUCCAAAAUAAUGAUAUUCUGAAUGUUUUAAAACAUUUUAUACUCGAAAACAUGAUAUAUUUUCUCCAUGUAAUUACAACCACAUAAAUUAUGUUUGAAACAGUUGUGUGGGAUUAAAUAGCUUCAAGGGAAACUAGAAAUUGAACAUAAAUUUGUGACAUUUCUUUAGAGCACUUUUUAUCGUGUAUUUUCGUAAAAUGAAGUUUUCAAUAGAUAAAUAUUAGUAUUAUAAUACAACUUCUGAUUUUAACUAAAAAUAGUUUCUUUUAAAUAUUUAAAUAAAUAAGAAAGUGACACAUGUAUUCUAAAAUAUCUCAAUAGGUUCUUACAAAUCCUGUUUUGAAUUUUUUUUCUUUAUCUCUCUCCAAUUUUUCCCUUUUUAGUUAAUGAAUUACAAUUAAAAAUAGAUUUUUAUGGAGUUCUUGCAAUUAAAAAAAAAAAAGAAGGAAGAGAAAAAUGAAAAGUUUUAAAAACUCAACCUUUUAAAAUCCAUGAUCAACUAUAAAUAACACAUGUCACUUAACUAACAUUUCAUAUAUUAUAGAAAAAUCAAAACAAAAAUCUGAAAUUAUAAUACUAUUAUUAUUAUUAUUUUAGAUAUUUUCAUGGUAUCAAACCAUUGAGGUUGCUCUAUCGACAAAUGAAUUUUCUUUUAUAUAUCAGUCCGGCAGCGUUAUAUGUGGAAUUUUUUUUUCUCUAGGACACUUUAUGUCUUUUGUAUUACUCAAUAAGACACUUCCUGCUUGCCACACACAUUAUGGUUGUGUAAAGUCUUUCAUGCCCUCAUAUUUGACAAGACUACACAAAGACUAACCAGAGAAAACUAACCAUGGUUCUUUCUCUUCUCUUCUCAAUACUUUCUUUAUUUUAAAUAAACAAAAGACUUCUUCUCUCUAUUAUUUCGAAUCUCAAAAUCAUUUUUCCAAAUCCAUGAAUUUUAAUCUCACUGAUUUCUCUUUCACCUCUAGUUUCAUUUCAUUUCAAAACCAACCAUGAUGUCUCACCAGAUGAUGUAUGCGCCUCCUUACUCUCCUUAUCAACACUAUAAUUAUUUGUAUCAUCAUCACCAAUCUCGUGGUGGCAAACAUAAAAACGCUGAGAACGUUGAGAACUGGAUCGAUUAUUUUGCUUAAGUGGAUGGAUGAUAGUUACCUUAAUUGUUUGUUUUCUUUCGUUGGAGAAGUAAGUACGUGCUUCACUCUUAUUUUUUCUCUUUUCAAAAAAAAAAAAUUGUGUGUUUCCUUGUUUAUGUACAAAGUCUUGUUAUUUUAUGGAUUAGAUUUAUUUUGUUCCUUGAUGGUUUUGUUCAUUGUUUGGCUGCUGUAAUCACUUUUGAGUUUUGAAACAAAGUGUGUAAAAUAACUUAAUUUAUUGAGAAAAUAAUUUGAAUGUUAUAUGGACAAAAAAUCAAAAUGGAAAAACACAAAAAACACAUUCAAGUUGUUCGACGAAAUGCUCUAUAAAAAUAUGCAUGUCCAUAAAACGGUGUCCACACAAUCCUAUAUGAUAUAUAGAAAUAUGUAUAUCCACAAAAUAGUGUCUACAAAACCUCGUUCACAAAAACUCGUUCACAUGGACAUCAAAAUUUAUUAUAAAUUUACAAAAAAAUAUAUACAUUAUGGAUAUCAAAAUGUAGAAGAGAAAAAGUUAUAACUUAUUUUAUACAUUAAUAUAGAUUUUAUACAUUAUAAUUUGUAAUAAUGACCAAAAAAAUAUGUUGGGAAUGUACAUAAACACUACACGGUAUGCAUAAAGCACUUGUUCACAAAUACUAAGAAAUUAUGUAAGAUGAUUAGGAAUAUAAGAACUUGUCCAAGAAAACACAUCCAUGAAACUUAGUUUAUGAAACUUCAUCCACGAAAAUUUUAAAGAGAUUUUCUACAUUUUUUUAUCCAUCCAUGUCCACAUCUUUUUAUGUUCAAGUAUUUUUUUUAUAUGUUCACAAUUUUGCAUCCACACUUCUUAUGUCCAUACAUUUUUUUUAUAUAAUUGUUGAAAUAUAUAAAAUAUAUAUAUGAAAAUGGAUGUUAAAAUAUAGACAAAAACAAAUUAUAAUUUAUUGUAAUAAUUAUACUUUCUUCAAAUGUCUUAAACUCUGAGAAAAAAACAAAUAAAAACAUAAGAACUUUGCAAAAAAACAAAGAAAAA